Chelonia mydas (Green sea turtle) is the source of this 7005-nucleotide RNA transcript. It is a transcript of the gene named RAB4B, member RAS oncogene family, with no coding region annotated. The transcript is spliced from 6 exons. Lineage: Eukaryota; Metazoa; Chordata; Testudines; Cheloniidae. The record is from RefSeq and is a predicted model, not a curated record.
ACGGACCCGGAAGCGCCUCCCCCAGCCGGGUCCGCGGGCGCCGCCAUAUUGGCGGAUCCUGGGCGCCGCCAUAUCGCGCCCGCUGCGCUCGGUUCUGCCCGGUGCCGCCGCCCCAGCCCCAGCCAUGUCCGAGAGCUACGAUUUCCUCUUCAAGUUCCUUGUGAUAGGAAGUGCCGGUACUGGGAAGUCCUGUCUCCUGCAUCAGUUUAUAGAGAAUAAAUUCAAGCAGGAUUCCAACCACACGAUCGGAGUGGAGUUUGGGUCGAAGGUGGCUAAUGUCGGUGGGAAAACGGUGAAACUGCAGAUCUGGGAUACGGCAGGACAAGAACGGUUUAGGUCGGUGACUCGGAGCUACUACCGCGGUGCUGCCGGGGCCCUGCUGGUGUACGACAUCACCAGCCGGGAGACCUACAAUGCGCUGACCAACUGGCUGACGGACGCCCGGACCCUCGCCAGCCCCAGCAUCGUCAUCAUCCUCUGCGGGAACAAGAAGGACCUGGAUGCAGACCGGGAAGUGACCUUCCUGGAAGCCUCCCGCUUCGCACAAGAGAACGGUACCAAGCUGGGGCCCGGGGAGGGGCUGCUCUGGGGGCUCAUUAGUUUUGACUAUCACAUGGUCCUGCCUUGCCCUUUCCAUGUGGGGUGGGGGGGGUGUUCCUUGGGGAUGUUCCUGUCCCCUACCUGCUUUGCCAUGGCACCAGGGCUUAGUGGUGUGAAAGCGUCCCGCAGCCAGGCCGGGUCCAGCAGGGUAAGGAACUAUGGAAGUGGGGUGGGGGCAGGCAGGGCUGGCCCCAGGGCAGUGCUAGGCGCAGGGCGCUCUCCCCUGGCAGUCUGGGCUGGCCCCAGAGUGGGUGCUGGUGGGUGCGGUGUUGCUACCAGGAGCUGUCUUUCCCAUGAGUGGUAACACUGCAGUCCUUGCCAUGCCAGCAUUAAAAUCCCGUGGCCACCAAAAGGGGUCAUCAGCCCUGGGGUACUGCCCCAAUCCCGUCCUGCCUCCUUAAACAUCCCUUGGAGGCAGGGCGCUCCUUUGUUGCUGAGCGCUGCUGGGCGAGGGUGGCAGCUGUGUUUGGACCCCCGGGGCGGGCGACUGAGCUCCGCAGAGCCCGGGGGCCAAGGGCGCUAGAUGAAAAGCGCGGAAGAGCUGCUGGAAUGGCUCCCCGGCACUGGUGCUGUUUGGCCAGGAGGGGGCGCUUGGACUCCGUGGUUAGAGCACGGUGUCAGACUGGAAGCACCGGAUUUCGUGUGUUCAGUGGUGCCGCUGGAUCGGGCCCCACUCCACCCAGGCUGCCCAGGGUAUGAGAGGUGAGGACGGACCGUGCCCUGCAGGUCCCGCUGCAGAGCGAACUGCUCUCUUCUGUGUGUUGGCGGGGCUGGAUCCCGAGCGAGGAGUUGCGUUGUCUCGGGAUACCCAGCUGGGGAUGUCCCGUGCUUAGCGUGUGGGCCGAGGCGAAUCGUGCUGUGAGCCGCACCCCGGUUACCUUCCUGCCGUUUCUCUCUUCGCCUCGGCAGAACUCAUGUUCCUGGAGACCAGCGCGCUGACCGGGGAGAACGUAGAAGAAGCUUUCUUAAAAUGUGCCAGGACCAUACUAAACAAAAUUGAAUCAGGUACGAAGGCUGGAGAUGGCAGGGGGCACCGAGGGGCGUGACACAGCCCAACGCUUCUCCGUUGAGCAUUUCCAGCCUGAACAUCUCGACCAGGAAAGGAAACCAGUUUCCAGUAAUAAUUAAUAAUGAGUGAUAAAGACAGAUUAUGGUCCGGGCUCUGGCUGAGACCAGGGGCCCCCAGUCAUGUCCUGACGUAGGGCAGGAGAUGUGGGUAUGGCCCAGUUCUCCAGGGGUGCUCAGUUGCCCCAUGCCCUCUGCAGUCCGGGGCAGGGUUUGUCUGGCGCCCCCAGGGUGUUUGCUCUCCCAGCUCGCCAUGGAUCGAUCUCCUUGAUGGUAGUUAGUCUGGAGUCUGUUGUUAAGUGACUAUACCCAGGAGUUGCCCGGCUGGGCGUACCCACGGCUGGCCUAGAAGGGUCUGGGUAAAGAUUCCUCCCUCCCAGCCCCACGCAAUCUGGGGGAGCGAGGGGAGGUGGCGGAGGGGGAGGGGACGGUUGUGUCCCCCCGCGCUGAGUGCUGCUGUCUGGCUAGGCGAGCUGGACCCCGAGAGGAUGGGCUCAGGAAUCCAGUACGGAGAUGCCUCCUUGCGCCACCUGAGACAGCCCCGCGGGGCCCAAACCCAGAACAAGCAGCCGUGCAGCUGCUAAGGGCGAAGGCUCCCAGGAAUCUGUCUGCAACGCUGGACCGUGGCCAGUCGGACCCUCCGGGGCUCAAGCACUUUCUCUUCUCUUCCCAGGACCACGUGCCUCGCUCGCUGAGCCCCCUGCUUCCCGAGCCGCGCGCCCUCUCCGAGCAGUGCGCUGCCCGCCCCUUCGGCCCACGAGCCCUGGGACUCUGGCAAACUGCCCGGUUGACUGUAUGCAGCCACGGUGUCUUCUGUCGACGCUCCCUGCCCUCUGCGCGUCCCCCCAAACCUGAGGCUGUCACGGGCCCGUCUCAGUAACGACUUUCAAAGGAUGAAGUAACGGGGCCCCGGCCAGCCUCCCGUAGCUAAUUGCUGCUCUGGGUAGGAGAGUCCCUCUUCGUUAACACCAGGACGAGGGGGGAGCGGGUUCUCCUUGUGAAACGGUUCAUUUGGGGUUGACUCCUGCUACCCCGUUGCUGGGAGCGGGGCUGGGGCUUUGCCCUGGGUAGGUGGGGGGUGUCUCUUAGCCUGGGGGACAGCGUGGAGAUGGGGUUUGCCUGUCACAAACCAAAGGGCACUUGUCACGCAGGGGAGCUCGUGAGCGGUUCCCCGCAGCGAGCGGCUUGCCGGGCGGUCGAGGCUGGGCUUGGAUUUCUGUUACACUGGUUUUGCUUUGGAAGCUGGGGUCUGUCUCCGCCAUGUCCCGGGCUCCACCUUGUCUCGCUGCUUUUCCGCCAGCCAGCCGUCGCGCUCCCGAGCACUGUGCUUGUGAACUCUCCCCUGCCCCGGGCGCCGUGACGUUCUGGUGUAACAGACAGUCGGGGCUGGGUGGACGGCGCGUCCCCUUUGAAAUACUGUAAGCUUAAUACUGGACCAUUGAAGUGUCCGUGGCAGGAGCCGGCUCUGCCACUGGGUUUAGUCCCAGCUCCUGCGGGAGGUUCCCUCGGGCUCCGCGGCUCGUGCGCUGAAUCCCUUGGGUGGGCGUGGGCAUCUGGGGUUUAAAACCCCACGGCAGCCGUAAUGGCAGAUCCGCAUCUCAAACCAAGCACGUACCGGGCAGGAAAGUCCAGGCUGGCUGAGCCACAACCAGAGCCGGGAUAACGUGCCAACAGCAGCUUCCCCUCGAGGGGGCCGGUUCGAAUCCGGCCCCGCUGGGUCCAGACCAAGGGUCAAAUUUUCAAGAGUGCCGAAGCAACAAGCUCCAAAGGCCUGUUGAAAGCCAAUAGGAUCUGGGCUCCUAAAUCACCUAGUGUUCUGAAUGUUAACCGCCUCUGGUUCUUGUCUGGCCCCUUUGGGGCUCCUGUCCACUGCUGGCACUAAUGGCCCUCAGCGGGCUGAGAGGGGCUCGCCCUGGACAGAAUCUGUCUAGCUGGAGCAAUUGGCAGCCAUCGCUGACUCCGGCCCACGGCUGCAGGGUUGGAUUUGAAGGUGGUGACAGUGGCAUAAAGACUCCUUGAGCAGCCAGAGCCGUCUGCUUUGUCCUCGUGCCGCCCCCGGCCUGCACCCCUUCCCCAUCCCUCUCGCCUCCUCUGGCAACAGUGAUCCCUGGCCCCCGCGUACAGCCGCUGGGCUGCGGCCCCGGUCUCUCUCUCCUAAUCUUGGCCCAAAACAUUGCAUGACCCACGCGGCCCUCCUGCUGUAACUGCCAAACCAGUGAUACUCAAUAGGCGGCCCGCAGGCCAAAUGUGGCCCCCCAGCUCACCUUACAAAAAGUGUGUAAUUAAAUUCACAAUCCGUGAUGCGCUGCCUUAGCAAGUGACUUACCGGCCUGACGUUCUGGCGAGAGUGUCCGCUAAACAGCGCACGGCCGCAGCCCGGUUUCUCGUUAGCGAUGGAAACGGAGCCACAAACGAAUGCGGCUGGGUGUAAAUGUCACCAGGUCGGCAGGGGAAACCGAGCUUUGAACCCCAACCGAACGGGGGGGUUUUCUCUUUAUUACGCCGGCUCGUCUAAAGCCCAAACCUGUGUGUUUAACACACCGAACUGCUGUAUCUGUCCGGAAGGUCGCCACAUUGAAUCAGGGUAAUGUGGACGUGGCCUGUCCUUCCGGCCGUGUUGUAAGACGUGAGAAAAUGGAAAAAUCUGCAGGCUUUGGAUUGCACUUCAAAUGUCCUCCUCGCCCCAUCAGCAACUGCAGGGAAAAGCAGCAGCUGCUUCUCUUCAGAGAACGUGGGAACUCGCACAAAAGAAAAGGCCUUUCCUGGCUGCCGAGCUUGGGCAGUGCACGCUGGACAUAGGGGGGAGCCUUGUGCUGGAGGUGAAAACACAGGUGGCCUUGUGAACCGUAUGAAGCGGGUUCCCCUGUCUGAGGCCACGGCAGUGCGAAGACGGGGGGUAAUUUGAGGGUUGUUUGUCAGCACUGCUUUCCGAUUUACAAAAUGCCAAACACCCGUCUCUGGCUGUGGAUGAACUGAGCGAUUGAAGUGACGCUGCCCGGCUAUCGCUGUUUGCUGGAAUUUACGAUGGGGAAAUUUUCAAGGAAGAAUUUUUGUGCUGAAACCUACCCCACAGGAGAGAGCAUUUUUGAAAAGGUAAAAGGCUUUUUUGGGAGGGAAAAAACCCAACUUUCUGCAGAGCUAAACCAAACUGUCUUGUACAGACAGAGGGCCCUCCGUGACAGAGAGAGAGACGGGCGUUGCCCCAUGUUUCACAGCGAUACGCCUUUCUUUAAAUACACUUCACUGCAUCGUUCACCAGACUGUCCUAUGCGGUGAGUUUUGUGGGGACUUGGAAAAACCAAGUUACAGCAGAACCUCAGAGUUACUAACUGACCAGUCAGCCGCACGCCUCAGGGGAACCGGAACUACGCAAUCAGGCAGCGCCCCCCCCUCCCCCCACGCAAAUACAGGACAGUGCUGGGUUAAAAGUAAACCCCUAAAACAAUCCAGGGAAGCAGCGUUUUUCUCCUGCACAGUGACUUUUCAAAGCUCUCUUAAGUCGAUGUCCAGCUGUAAAUUUUUGAAAGAACCGUAACUAUUUGUUCAGCGUCGGGGUUUGAAACGAGAGUCUACUGUACCGUGAUGAGCUCAGCGACCUCCAUACGCUCAGCUUCUGGCUUGCAGCAUUGUCUUUCCCAAGCUGUCUUACCAGUCCUUUCAGCCGAAUAUGGAGACCUUUUGCAGCCCGGCGGCAUUCGCUCGCGAAUAGAAGGCGCAUGGGAGAGAGGUUUUGUGCCCUUUAGGAAGAAAUAAUGGACUUUCUUUCCAACCACAAGCCCAAGCUUGUGAGGCCCUGGAAUUUACGAACGCUGUCCCAGGUAGCGUCUCUGUAUGAUAUGACUGGUCACUCGAAUUCCCUCAGCGGGCUGCCCCAAGGCCGUGCAAGCCAGGCCGGGGAGCUCUUUGAAGAAGCCUGUGCCUUUCUGAGCGACUUAAAAGGAUGUUUCACUUCCCCACAUUGUGUGUUGUUGCGACCGGUGACAGUCAGAUGAAGACGAGGCAAGAAUUCCUACAUCACCUGAGCGAGAAUUAAAAUCCCAGAGCAUUUGCUUUUAUUCACCAUCCAUUUGUCUGUGCCCGAGGGACCUCGCCCUUCUCAAGCAAAGAACAUUCUUGAGUCAGUUGACGAUUGUAAGGCUCCAGCGCUCAGAUGUCUUGGCAAAUUCAGAGCAGUGGGUCUUGGUGAUAGCAGAAGGAUGGCCAGACCGGGUCAGACCAAAGGUCCGUCUAGCCCAGUGUCCUGUCCUCCGGCAGCGGUAACUGCCGGAGAGUGCCCCAGAGGGAACGAACAGAACAGGGAAUCACCAAGUGAUCCAUUCCCUGUCUUCCAUUCCCAGCUUUCUGAGCUUAAUACGCUGACCAGGUUCGGGGUGGAUGGCUAGAUUCAGGCAAUCUUUUAACUAUGUUCGGACCAACAUCCCUCUGCCAACCUGGGUUUUCCACCAGGAACAUUGCGAAAAACCCAACAUCCCAAUUGCCUGCCGGGUGAGCAUCUUCACCAGGGCGUCCGCCUUGCCCUGACCGCUCACAAAGCUUGCCCAAGAUCACUGCUGUCCCCUCUCCUGUUCGAGAGUGACACACCUGGGGGCUAAUGUCCAUUUACAAACUUCGUCAGACAAUAGAAAUGCUCCUCCUUCCCUUGUCAACCAAGGCCUGUAUUUACAUUUUUCUUUCAUUUUAUGUGGUCAGCCAUGCGUGCCUACGGCCCGUCUCUGGUCCUGAAAUUCUCAGAUCAGCCCGUGGAUAGAGAGAGUUGGGUAUCACUGGUGAGGCCCCUCCAGUGUCCUGCGUGGGCUGGGGCUAGUGCUGUGCGUGGUGGGGGGGACGGGGAGCCCAGCACAUCCAUCUUGAGCCAGUCACCUUCACCCCCCUUCGUGUGUCUCCAGAGAGCCCUGGGGUAUCUCUGUCCCUUUGAAAGGCUCCUGUCUGAGCGGGGAGGGGAGCACAGAUCGGGCCGCUGUUCGGAGGGGUGGGGCGACCCCCGGCUGGGUGGCUGCGUGAGCCCCGGCCCAACCAGGCGAGGGGGCGGGCUGGGUUCGUCUGUUGUGUUCUUCCGCUUAAGCUGCUGUUAUUUAUUAGGUGGGGGAGGACAGGAGGCUGCUGCCUUUGUGGCUUGCCUCGCACUCGGCUCUUGCCUGGCCCGUCCCCGGGCACGGGCGGGAGGACGCAAGCGGGGCUCCGUCCGAUUCCUCCUGAAGCUGGGGCAGGGUGGGGAGAAAUGGUUGGAUCCAAACCGGUUUAUAAUUCACACCCUGUGAAAUUUCUUCUCUUUAAAAGAAAAAUCCCUCCGACUUCAGGCUGUGACAAUGUGACUCGUACAUAAAGUAUUAACGUUUUCCA